GUAGGUGGCAAGCGUUGUCCGGGAAUUACUGGGGCGUAAAGCGCGCGCAGGCGGUUCUUUAAGUCUGAUGUGAAAGCCCACGGGCUCAACCGUGGAGGGUCAUUGGAAACUGGAGAACUUGAGUACAGAAGAGGAAAGCGGAAUUCCACGUGUAGCGGUGAAAUGCGUAGAGAUGUGGAGGAACACCAGUGGCGAAGGCGGCUUUCUGGUCUGUAACUGACGCUGAGGCGCGAAAGCGUGGGGAGCAAACAGGAUUAGAUACCCUGGUAGUCCACGCCGUAAACGAUGAGUGCUAAGUGUUAGGGGGUUUCCGCCCCUUAGUGCUGCAGCUAACGCAUUAAGCACUCCGCCUGGGGAGUACGGCCGCAAAGGCUG
RNAcentral lists this ribosomal RNA (375 nucleotides) under uncultured organism. RNAcentral's name for it is "partial 16S ribosomal RNA". It matches the Rfam family "Bacterial small subunit ribosomal RNA", at positions 527 to 896 of the family's 1533-position model. The record is from RNAcentral.